RNA transcript from Diachasmimorpha longicaudata, 1802 nucleotides. It is a transcript of the gene named glycerol-3-phosphate dehydrogenase [NAD(+)], cytoplasmic-like, with no coding region annotated. The transcript has 9 exons. The record is from RefSeq and is a predicted model, not a curated record. NCBI's taxonomy places the organism in Eukaryota, Metazoa, Arthropoda, Insecta, Hymenoptera, Braconidae.
CACAAACUAUGAUCAGCUCCUAUAAAUAACGAACAAAACCUUGUCAAUGAACCACGAAGAAUACCCAGCACAAUUCCCGAACUAAAAUGUCAAUGUCACAACAUCAUCACAUCAAAUGUGUAAAGAAAACAUUUUUAAUUAUCAUAGGCUCGUUAAAUAUAUCCGCUCCACCCACCGUCCCCCCAAACCGAUGUCAUGAGGCAUGAUUUUUCCUUGGAGAUGAUCCAAGACUUGCGCAUAAAAACUAGAUAGAACAAAAUCCGCUCGAAAAAUCGUUCCUAAGGUCAAUGGUAAGCCUGAAGUAAGCCAGUCAUCAAUCGGCACUGCAAGAAGAGGAAGAAAUCGUCUUCAGUCGCUGUCACUCAAUCAGUUGAUCUCAAAUUGCUCCGCUAAGUUGUCUGAUUAAUUGUUUAAUUUCGUUUUCGAAUUUGAAUAGUUAUACAAUCCGGAAGCAUGAGUAAGAAGAGAGUUUGCAUCGUUGGAAGUGGAAACUGGGGCUCGGCAAUUGCCAAAAUUGUUGGAGCGAAUACUGCUAAAAACAGUGACAAAUUCGAGGAAAAAGUCACUAUGUACGUAUAUGAGGAGAUGAUCAACGGGAAGAAGCUCACGGAGAUUAUUAAUGAACAGCAUGAAAACGUUAAAUACCUGCCGGGACACAAGUUACCACCAAAUAUCGUUGCAGUUCCUGAUGUCGUGGAGGCUGCGAAGGAGGCUGACAUCCUCAUUUUUGUCAUUCCUCAUCAAUUCAUCAGGGGUCUUGCGGCUGCGAUGCUGGGGAAAAUUAAGCCAGACGCUGUUGGUCUUUCCUUGAUAAAAGGAUUCGACAACUCCGAUCCAAAGAACAUUCAACUGAUCUCAAAGGUCGUCACAGAGCACCUGAAAAUUCCUUGCUACGUUCUAAUGGGUGCGAAUCUGGCAAAUGAAGUAGCCGAGGAAAAAUUCUGUGAAACGACAAUUGGUUGCAAAGAUAAACGCCUAGCACCUGUGCUCAGAGACAUGAUUCAGACACCCAAUUUCAGGGUUGUGGUGGUGGAUGAUCUCGAAGCUGUGGAAGUGUGCGGAGCUUUGAAGAAUAUUGUAGCCUGUGCUGCUGGUUUUGUUGACGGUCUGUCCCUCGGCGACAACACAAAGGCAGCUGUAAUCAGACUGGGUCUGAUGGAAAUGAUUAAAUUCGUUGACACAUUCUACGGAGGAUCCAAAUUGUCAACAUUCUUCGAGAGUUGUGGAGUUGCUGAUCUCAUUACUACUUGCUACGGUGGACGAAAUCGCAGGGUUUGCGAGCAAUUUGUUAAAACAGGAAAGACAAUCAAAGAACUUGAAGAUGAACUUUUGGGGGGUCAGAAGCUCCAGGGGCCAGCGACCGCAGAAGAAGUCAAUGGAAUGCUGAAAUCCAAGAAUUUAACCGACAAAUUCCCCCUAUUCACAGCUGUCCAUCGCAUCUGCAGCAAGGAGCUCAAAGGAUCAGAUCUGAUAGAUCAAAUUCGCAAUCACCCUGAGCACCAAUUUGCACCGAAAAACCUGUAUGUUUAUUAACCCUCUAGAGGAGACUGAUUAAUCAAUGUAGUAAGUUGCGAAUACUAGACUAGGAUUCUCACUGCAUGAUAAAAAUUGGGCAAUUGAGAGCUAACUUGGCAGCAGCUUGAGAAUCCAAAUAAUUGAAUGAAUUAAAUCCCAUUGCUCAGAAUUUUAAUAAACUCAUUAGGUCGAGAGAUAACUGUAAAUAAACGAUGUAAAACCGGAAAGAGACGACCACCGAAAGUAUUGUAAAUACUGAUAAAUAAAUAAAUAUUAUUGUUACUGAA